AUUAAUUUUGUUUGCUUCACAUUAAAAAUCAAAACUAUACAGAGAAGAUUGGCAUGACCCCUGUGUAAGAAAAGACACAAAUUCAUGAAGUGUUCCUUAUUUUU
Fukomys damarensis (Damara mole-rat) is the source of this 104-nucleotide non-coding RNA. NCBI's taxonomy places the organism in Eukaryota, Metazoa, Chordata, Mammalia, Rodentia, Bathyergidae. The record is from Rfam.